CUGGAUUUGUUGAAUUAAUCUCCAGAAAAAAUUAAUACUUCAAUUUAAAACCAUGUUUGAUUCAUUAGCCUGAUAAUAAAUCCUGUACAUUCCAUAUCAUUGACAAUAAUAUGUGAUGUUUUAUAUAUCAACUUGUCAUUAUUUUCUAGUCAUUCCACAAACUUUUAUAACUUUAAACAUAUUUUUACCUGUAUAGUAUUGUUAUUUAUUUAUUUUUGGCACAUGUUGUAGGUAUUUUACACAAUUGUUGAUAUUUAUUUUAAUUUUAUUUUGCUCAUGUAUUUUUUUAUGUUAAAACACAUCUAUUUAAUACAUUCCUGAAAGAUAUUUAAUCCUUAAUGAUCAUUAUAGUUUUAAAAAAAAAAGGAACAUUUUGAAAGAAGUUUCAACUUUGAAUUAUGUAUGAGGAAAAAUUACAAUGGUCUCAAUUUGUUGUAUAAAGACUUCGGGUAAAGGUAUUUAUUGUCUUGUAGUAAUGGAAUUUUUGGUCAAAGGGGAUAAUUCCCACAUAAUUCUUAUAAGAAAGGUACAAGACUAUAUUUACUAGUUAAUCACUUUAGCAAGUAUGAUUUUAUCUAUUUAUUUAGUUGUAUGGGAAUUUCCAAAAAUAGUUUUAACAGUAGAAAUUGAUUUACAAUUUGCUAAAAAUAUUAUGUGACUACAUUUAAUGUACAGUGUCAUCUUUUAUUUCACAUGCAUUUUUAUAAGCAUGAAAAUAAAAUGUUUU
This 727-nucleotide long non-coding RNA is filed under the name Mytilus galloprovincialis (Mediterranean mussel). Lineage: Eukaryota; Metazoa; Mollusca; Bivalvia; Mytilida; Mytilidae. The record is from RNAcentral.